This 442-nucleotide ribosomal RNA is filed under the name uncultured bacterium. Its description in RNAcentral is "bacterial SSU rRNA". It matches the Rfam family "Bacterial small subunit ribosomal RNA", at positions 354 to 796 of the family's 1533-position model. The record is from RNAcentral.
GUCAAGAAUAUUCCUCAAUGGGCGAAAGCCUGAAGGAGCGACGCCGCGUGACCGAUGAAGUCUUUCGGGAUGUAAAGGUCUUUUCUUAGGGAAGAACCUCGCUAUUGCGGGGGUUGACGGUACCUAGGGAAUAAGAGGUUGCUAACUCUGUGCCAGCAGCAGCGGUAAUACAGAGACCUCAAGCGUUAUCCGGAUUUAUUGGGCGUAAAGCGUACGCAGAUGGCUUUUUAAGUCGGUGGUCAAAUCCUUCAGCUUAACUGGAGGACUGCCAUGGAAACUGAAAAGCUCGAGGACGGAAGAGGCCAACGGAAUUGCCGGUGUAACGGUAAAAUGUGUUAAUAUCGGCAAGAACACCAGAUGCGAAAGCGGUUGGCUAGUACGUUCCUGACAUUGUUCGUACGAAAGCGUGGGUAGCGAAUGGGAUUAGAAACCCUAGUAGUCC